GUGUGCAUUAUCUAAUUCUAACUUGCAGAAAUAGGAAUCAGUUGGCUUCCUUUUAUUUCUUCUUUCAAGUGUUCUCUCACAAUUCACAAACGGUCAAACGGAAAUCAACAAAAGCAAAAUCAAUGGCCUUCUCACGGUGGUUCUCUCGAAUGCGCGCAACUUCCAAAACAAUCUUCACACAUCUUCAAACAACCCACACCACCAGCCGUGCAAAUACCGUUUCAAAAGUUACCUCUUCGUCCAACAGAAGAAACCCAUUUCUAUGGUGGUCUUCUUACUUGGUCCCCAUUUCAGCAACUUCUCUUAUGUUGCAGAUUCAACCUACUCCUUCUUUUUCUGACGCUUUUGAUCCUAAUGCUCGAGGUGUUGGCAUAGGUGGCAAAGGAAGCACUGAGUUUGUAGUGAAGGGUUCUCACAGAAGCGUCCCACAAGAGCUCAUCGAUGAUUUGGAGGCUAUAUGUGGGGAAAACAUGACAGUGGAUUAUGAUGAAAGAUUUUUGCAUGGGAAGCCGCAAAACAGCUUUCACAAAGCUGUCAAUAUUCCCGAUGUUGUCGUAUUUCCAAGGUCUGCUCAGGAAGUUUCCUUGAUUGUUAAGUCUUGUAACAAGCAUAAGGUUCCUAUUGUACCUUAUGGUGGAGCUACAUCUAUUGAGGGUCAUACUUUGUCUCCUCAUGGAGGAGUUAGCAUUGACAUGUCCCUAAUGAAAAAUAUUAAAGCAUUACACGUCAAGGAUAUGGAUGUGGUUGUUGAGCCUGGGAUCGGAUGGAUGGAGUUAAAUGAAUACUUGGAACCUUAUGGCUUAUUCUUUCCUCUCGAUCCUGGUCCUGGUGCUACAAUUGGUGGCAUGUGUGCGACUCGUUGCUCUGGUUCAUUAGCUGUGAGGUAUGGGACAAUGCGUGAAAAUGUCAUCAAUUUAAAGGUUGUCCUGGCAAAUGGUGAUGUUGUCAAGACAGGAAAUCGUGCCCGAAAGAGUGCUGCAGGGUAUGAUUUGACCCGGCUGGUGAUUGGAAGUGAAGGAACCUUGGGUGUGAUUACUGAAGUUACUCUACGCCUUCAAAAAAUACCUCAAUACUCAGUGGUUGCAAGGUGCAACUUCCCUACAGUCAAGGAUGCUGCUGAUGUUGCUAUUGCCACUAUGCUGUCUGGUAUACAGGUAUCCAGGGUAGAACUCAUGGAUGAGGUUCAAGUAAGGGCAAUAAAUAUUGCCAAUGGAUCAAAUUUGCCAGAAACACCUACAUUAUUAUUUGAAUUUGUCGGAACAGAAGCAUAUUCACGCGAACAAACUAUGCUGGUUCAGAAGAUUGUCUGUGAGCACAGUGGCUCAGAUUUCAUGUAUGCUGAAGAACCUCAAGCUAAGAAGGAGCUUUGGAAGAUGAGGAAGGAAGCACUCUGGGCCUGCUUUGCAAUGGAACCUGGAUUCGAGGCAAUGAUUUCGGAUGUGUGUGUGCCUUUGUCACAACUUGCAGAGCUGAUUUCGAAGUCCAAGGAAGUGCUGGAUGCCUCUCCGUUAGUAUGCUCUGUUAUUGCCCAUGCUGGUGAUGGAAACUUUCAUACCGUGAUCUUGUUUGAUCCUAACAAAGAAGAACACAGACAAGAAGCUGAGAGGCUGAAUCAAUUCAUGGUCCAGACAGCAUUGUCAAUGGAAGGAACAUGUACGGGAGAACAUGGAGUUGGUACUGGCAAAAUGAAGUACCUCGAACAAGAGCUCGGGAUAGAAAAUUUGAGAACCAUGAAAAGCAUAAAAACAGCUUUGGAUCCUAACAAUAUCAUGAAUCCUGGAAAGCUAAUCCCUCCUCAUGUCUGUUUUUGAGAGUAUUCUCUAUGUUUUACUGCGACUUCUAAUCAUAUGGUGUAUGGUGUACCAUCAUUGUUUUUCUUGCUCAUCAAUGUUUUACUACAUGAGAACUCUUCUACCAAUGCUUCAUAGGCCGAUCUUUUUUAACUCUUAUAUUUAAGAGUUGGUUUUAUAUGAGACCACCUACUUUUUAAUUUAAGAUUAGGCAAUAACGUAAACUCAAUAUUACCUCCGUUUCUUUUUAAUAGUUACACUUUCACUUUUGGCACUAUUCACAAAUCUCUAUUUGACUGUCAUUUGUGAUGUAUGGUUAAGAGAAAAUAUAGUCAUGUGGGGUCUUGUUUGAUUCGUCUCAAUAUGUAUUUUAUAAAAAUAUCGAUUUUUUUAUAUUUUUACAAAUACAAAAUUAGAGAUAUAAAGACUCAAAGUAGCGCAUCAGCAUGCGUGAAACGUGUAAGUGUAACUAUUAAAAAGGAGCGGAUGUAGUAUUAAGAAUAGAAGGGACCAUCUUUUUGAAUAUAGUGACUAGUUCAAUCCAUUUAGAUAUUAUUAUAA
Molecule: RNA transcript, 2351 nt
Organism: Beta vulgaris subsp. vulgaris (sugar beet)
Lineage: Eukaryota; Viridiplantae; Streptophyta; Magnoliopsida; Caryophyllales; Amaranthaceae
Gene name: D-lactate dehydrogenase [cytochrome], mitochondrial
Exons: 19
Source: RefSeq, a predicted model, not a curated record